CAGCCGCCACGGGAAUACGGGGGGUGCGAGCGUUAAUCGGAAUUACUGGGCGUAAAGCGUACGCAGGUGGUUUGUUAAGUCAGAUGUGAAAUCCCCGAGCUUAACUCGGGAACUGCAUUUGAAACUGGCAGGCUAGAGUCUCGUAGAGGGGGGUAGAAUUCCAGGUGUAGCGGUGAAAUGCGUAGAGAUCUGGAGGAAUACCGGUGGCGAAGGCGGCCCCCUGGACGAAGACUGACGCUCAGGUACAAAAGCGUGGGGAGCAAACAGGAUUAGAUACCCGCGUAGUCCCUGUCUCUUAUAC
RNAcentral lists this ribosomal RNA (301 nucleotides) under uncultured bacterium. Its description in RNAcentral is "partial 16S ribosomal RNA". It matches the Rfam family "Bacterial small subunit ribosomal RNA", at positions 509 to 807 of the family's 1533-position model. The record is from RNAcentral.